CUUAUGUAGUGGCUAUCGGGUCCCGCCUCCGCAGGCUGAUUGGCUGCGGCCGGCAAGCACUGAGCGGCGAUUGGGCAGUGUGGCUGCUCGUCAGCGGGUCCGGACCUGGCGCGGCCCGUGAGGGGGCCGCGACGAGAGGCCAUUGUGGCGAGGGAGGCCUUGGGAGGUGGAGGAGCGAAGCCGCUACCGCGGGACCCAAGCGCCGAGCCUCAGGAGCAGACGAUCUUGAAAACUGUGCCAGGUCCUUGGGGGAAAAAAACUACAUGACAGUGCAACAUGAGUGACAGUAAAUGUGAUAGUCAGUUUUACAGUGUUCAAGUCGCAGAUUCCACAUUCACUGUACUAAAACGGUACCAACAAUUGAAGCCCAUAGGAUCUGGGGCUCAGGGCAUUGUUUGUGCUGCAUUUGAUACGGUCCUUGGGAUAAAUGUUGCGGUAAAGAAGCUGAGUCGUCCUUUUCAGAACCAAACUCAUGCAAAAAGAGCUUACAGGGAGCUUGUUCUUUUAAAAUGUGUCAAUCACAAAAACAUAAUUAGUUUGUUAAAUGUAUUCACACCACAGAAGUCACUGGAAGAAUUUCAAGAUGUGUAUUUGGUUAUGGAACUGAUGGAUGCUAAUUUGUGCCAGGUUAUUCAUAUGGAGUUGGAUCAUGAAAGAAUGUCCUACCUUCUCUACCAGAUGUUGUGUGGUAUCAAACAUCUCCAUUCAGCUGGUAUCAUCCACAGAGAUUUGAAACCCAGCAAUAUAGUAGUAAAAUCAGAUUGUACACUCAAAAUCCUUGAUUUUGGACUGGCAAGAACAGCAUGUACUAAUUUUAUGAUGACUCCGUAUGUAGUAACACGGUAUUACAGAGCACCGGAAGUUAUCCUCGGCAUGGGAUACAAAGAGAAUGUUGAUAUCUGGUCAGUUGGGUGCAUCAUGGGAGAAUUGGUGAAAGGUUGUGUGAUAUUCCAAGGCACUGAUCAUAUUGAUCAAUGGAAUAAAGUUAUUGAACAGUUAGGAACACCAUCAGCAGAUUUUAUGAAGAAACUACAGCCUACUGUGAGGAAUUAUGUAGAAAACAGACCGAAAUAUCCGGGUAUCAAAUUUGAAGAGCUCUUCCCAGAUUGGAUAUUUCCAUCGGAGUCUGACCGUGACAAAUUAAAAACAAGUCAGGCUAGAGAUUUAUUAUCAAAAAUGUUGGUAGUAGACCCAGACAAACGAAUUUCUGUAGAUGAAGCCUUACGACAUCCAUAUAUCACGGUCUGGUAUGAUCCAGCUGAAGCAGAAGCACCUCCUCCUAAAAUCUAUGAUGCACAGCUGGAAGAAAGAGAACAUGCCAUUGAAGAAUGGAAAGAAUUAAUAUACAAAGAAGUAAUGGAUUGGGAAGAAAGAAGCAAGAAUGGUGUGGUAAAAGAUCAGCCCUCAGAUGCAGCAGUGAAUAGCAACACCAGUCCUUCCCAGUCAUCAUCGAUCAAUGACAUUUCAUCCAUGUCAACUGAGCAAACAUUGGCUUCAGAUACAGACAGCAGCCUUGAUGCCUUGACAGGACCCCUUGAAGGAUGCCGAUGAUCAGCCAGGAUUGCAGACUUAACAUUGGAAAAAAAACUCGUUUCCAUUGGCCUGAAUUGCUUGGUGCUGCUUGCAACUAUCUGGCUGAAGAGUUGGGAGAGCCAGAUCCUUAGACCACCUGAUAUUUGAUGGCAGGAUAUUUUUCAGGUUGCUGGUUCAGCUGCAGAAAGACAUCUUGUUGCAUGAACCAGAACAGAAUAGAAGACGAUAGAGCAGCCUGGCUGUGUUUGCAUGGGGGCAUUUUACAAAGUAUACUGAAAUACAUUCCUUGUCCUACAUCUUGCCUUUCUGUUACCCUCGAGGUCUUUGGAGACAGCGGUUCAGGUAUAGAAGAGCGUGGAGAGGUGAAAACAAGAUAGGAAGGAUUCUUGAGGAAAGUGGGACUUCAGGAGGUAAUGAGGCAUUUGUUACACAAAUGAUCCAACCAAAGGAGCUGCAUGUUGGAAGAUGCAAAACUGAGGGUGGGAGGAGAGGAAGAGUAAAUUGGUUGGAGUAGAGCUCAGUUCAAAAAUUCAGCCAGUUGUGCUAUUAUAUAAAGCCUUGAAAUGAGUGUGAAUUUACUUAAUUUGCAAUGGUAAAAGACUAGAAACCAUGGAUAGUAUUUAAGAAGGAUAUUGGGUGAUGUGGUUAGAGAGAUUAGAGAGUAUGUGGAGUGGACUGGAUAGCAUACACCUUACUCAUAAGUAAGGGUCUGUAAAACCUUGCUUCAGUGAUUUUACAGUUUUGAGCACUGAGUGAAACAGCCUGCUUCACUCGGUGUACAUAUGAGUGGAUCAUAUAGCAUGAGGCAGUGUUACAAUCAGAUGUUCUGCAUUGGCACCUCAUUCCUGAUCUCAAACUUGUUCUUUCCUUUUCAUAGAACUAAGGUUUAUUUACAGGACUGAGGCUUCGUGUACUGGCCCAGGUUCAAAGACUGCCCAGACGAUAGCUGUCUCCAAUGAAAAACGUUCCACAACCUUUCUUUUAUUAAGAAUAUUUUUACUGGCACAGUCUCUCCCUUAUGCCUUAUGAAGCGUGAUGAUAACACAGACUUCCUUAUUCAGUGCACAUAUUAUCAAAUCAUAUAACAUGAGGCAGCACUUCUAUGGAGUGCUGACUCAGUCCAUCUGCGCCUUCACAAAUCAUCCUGCUUGUGCACCUAUACAUUAAAAUAAAAUGUGAUCCAAUGUACACAUACACAAAGUAAGGCUCCGGGAUUUGUUUGUUUUUUGCUCUUAUGACAUGGUCAAGUCAAACCUGAUUUUUUUCCACUGUACCACCAAAUAUACACACAUGAGGCUAAUGUCCCUGUCAAGUCUCAAGCUUCUACUGCCUCCAGCU
Mauremys reevesii (Reeves's turtle) is the source of this 2871-nucleotide RNA transcript. It is a transcript of the gene named mitogen-activated protein kinase 9, with no coding region annotated. The record is from RefSeq and is a predicted model, not a curated record. The transcript has 13 exons. Lineage: Eukaryota; Metazoa; Chordata; Testudines; Geoemydidae.